RNAcentral lists this ribosomal RNA (481 nucleotides) under uncultured bacterium. RNAcentral describes it as "partial 16S ribosomal RNA". It matches the Rfam family "Bacterial small subunit ribosomal RNA", at positions 28 to 506 of the family's 1533-position model. The record is from RNAcentral.
GAUGAACGCUAGCGGCAGGCCUAAUACAUGCAAGUCGGACGGGAGUCAGGAGCUUGCUUCUGAUGAGAGUGGCGCACGGGUGCGUAACACGUAUGUAACCUACCUUUAUCAGGGGGAUAGCCUCUCGAAAGAGAGAUUAAGCGCUCAUAAAAUCACAGCACAGCAUUUUGUAAUGAUCGAAUAUUUAAAGGAUAAAGAUGGGCAUGCGGAACAUUAGCUAGAGGGCGGGGUAACGGCACACCAUGGCGACGAUGUUUAGGGAAUCUGAGAGGAGGGACCCCGACACUGGUACUGGGACACGGACCAGACUCGUGCGGGAGGCAGCGGUAAGGAAUAUUGGUGCAUGGGCGUAAGCCUGAAACAGCCAUGCCGCGUGGAGGAAGACGGGCCUACGGGUUGUAAACUGCUUUUAUAAAGGAAUACACCCAGAUACGUGUAUCUGGCUGAAUGUACUGUAAGAAUAAGGAUCGGCUAACUCCGU